RNAcentral lists this ribosomal RNA (767 nucleotides) under uncultured Oxalobacteraceae bacterium. RNAcentral's name for it is "bacterial SSU rRNA". It matches the Rfam family "Bacterial small subunit ribosomal RNA", at positions 82 to 845 of the family's 1533-position model. Lineage: Bacteria; Pseudomonadati; Pseudomonadota; Betaproteobacteria; Burkholderiales; Oxalobacteraceae. The record is from RNAcentral.
AACCUGGCGGCGAGUGGCGAACGGGUGAGUUAUAUAUCGGAACGUACCCAAGAGUGGGGGAUAACGUAGCGAAAGUUACGCUAAUACCGCAUACGAUCUAAGGAUGAAAGCAGGGGACCGUCAAGGCCUUGUGCUCCUGGAGCGGCCGAUAUCUGAUUAGCUAGUUGGUGAGGUAAAGGCUCACCAAGGCGACGAUCAGUAGCUGGUCUGAGAGGACGACCAGCCACACUGGAACUGAGACACGGUCCAGACUCCUACGGGAGGCAGCAGUGGGGAAUUUUGGACAAUGGGCGCAAGCCUGAUCCAGCAAUGCCGCGUGAGUGAAGAAGGCCUUCGGGUUGUAAAGCUCUUUUGUCAGGGAAGAAACGGUGCGGGCUAAUAUCCCGUGCUAAUGACGGUACCUGAAGAAUAAGCACCGGCUAACUACGUGCCAGCAGCCGCGGUAAUACGUAGGGUGCAAGCGUUAAUCGGAAUUACUGGGCGUAAAGCGUGCGCAGGCGGUUUUGUAAGUCUGUCGUGAAAUCCCCGGGCUCAACCUGGGAAUUGCGAUGGAGACUGCAAGGCUAGAAUCUGGCAGAGGGGGGUAGAAUUCCACGUGUAGCAGUGAAAUGCGUAGAGAUGUGGAGGAACACCGAUGGCGAAGGCAGCCCCCUGGGUCAAGAUUGACGCUCAUGCACGAAAGCGUGGGGAGCAAACAGGAUUAGAUACCCUGGUAGUCCACGCCCUAAACGAUGUCUACUAGUUGUCGGGUUUUAAUUAACUUGGUA